CAGUCGCCGCGGGAAUACGUAGGUGGCAAGCGUUGUCCGGAAUUAUUGGGCGUAAGGGCUCGCAGGCGGUUUCUUAAGUCUGAUGUGAAAGCCCCCGGCUCAACCGGGGAGGGUCAUUGGAAACUGGGAAACUUGAGUGCAGAAGAGGAGAGUGGAAUUCCACGUGUAGCGGUGAAAUGCGUAGAUAUAUGGAGGAACACCAGUGGCGAAGGCGACUCUCUGGUCUGUAGCUGACGCUGAGGCUCGAAAGCGUGGGUAGCAAACAGGAUUAGAUACCCCCGUAGUCCCUGUCUCUUAUACA
This 301-nucleotide ribosomal RNA is filed under the name uncultured bacterium. Its description in RNAcentral is "partial 16S ribosomal RNA". It matches the Rfam family "Bacterial small subunit ribosomal RNA", at positions 509 to 808 of the family's 1533-position model. The record is from RNAcentral.